CAACAAUUGUAACAUUAGAUCAUGAAACAUCGUUUCACCUAUUGAGCGUAACUUGCACCUGGAAAUCGCCAUGCUAGGCUCAGUAACCAUUUGGAUUAUAGGUCUCAUUCUGUCGCAGUUUUCGAUAUGCCUAAAAGUACGAAAAUACAGAUAAAUAGGAUUUACCAUUAUAGUAAUAACUAAUCUCCGAGCUCAAAGACAAAAACCAAGACAACAUCAAAAUUGUCGAGAAAAAUUUUCAGUGUCAUGAGAAUAUGUCAAGUACACUAAGUGUUGAAUACGUAAAAAAAAUUUAACAAUUUAUAUUAUAACACUUUGCAUCCUGUGCCGUUUUCGUGACACACUGAACACUUCCUCUGAAAUGGGCACAUUGAACACUUCCUCCA
This 386-nucleotide long non-coding RNA is filed under the name Malus domestica (apple). RNAcentral describes it as "long non-coding RNA (MDOM_LNC020603)". The record is from RNAcentral. Lineage: Eukaryota; Viridiplantae; Streptophyta; Magnoliopsida; Rosales; Rosaceae.